This 484-nucleotide ribosomal RNA is filed under the name uncultured bacterium. RNAcentral's name for it is "partial 16S ribosomal RNA". It matches the Rfam family "Bacterial small subunit ribosomal RNA", at positions 30 to 507 of the family's 1533-position model. The record is from RNAcentral.
AUUGAACGCUGGCGGCAGGCCUAACACAUGCAAGUCGAGCGGAUGAAGGGAGCUUGCUCCUGGAUUCAGCGGCGGACGGGUGAGUAAUGCCUAGGAAUCUGCCUGGUAGUGGGGGAUAACGUCCGGAAACGGGCGCUAAUACCGCAUACGUCCUGAGGGAGAAAGUGGGGGAUCUUCGGACCUCACGCUAUCAGAUGAGCCUAGGUCGGAUUAGCUAGUUGGUGGGGUAACGGCCUACCAAGGCGACGAUCCGUAACUGGUCUGAGAGGAUGAUCAGUCACACGGGAACUGAGACACGGUCCAGACUCCUACGGGAGGCAGCAGUGGGGAAUAUUGGACAAUGGGCGAAAGCCUGAUCCAGCCAUGCCGCGUGUGUGAAGAAGGUCUUCGGAUUGUAAAGCACGUUAAGUUGGGAGGAAGGGCAGUAAGUUAAUACCUUGCUGUUUUGACGUUACCAACAGAAUAAGCACCGGCUAACUUCGUG